CACGCAGGCGGUUAUGCAAGUCUGAUGUGAAAUCUCCGGGCUCAACUCGGAAUCCGCGUUGGAAACUGCAUGACUAGAGUAUUAGAGGGGGAGUCGGAAUUCCUAGUGUGGGGGUGAAAUCUGUUGAUAUUAGGAAGAACACCGGUGGCGAAGGCGGACUCCUGGCUGAAUACUGACGCUGAGGUGCGAAAGCAUAGGGAGCAAACAGGAUUAGAUACCCUGGUAGUCUAUGCUGUAAACGAUGUGCACUUGGUGUUGGGCCGAUUAGGUUCAGUGCCGAAGCUAACGCGAUAAGUGCACCGCCUGGGGAGUAUGCCCGCAAGGGUGAA
This 329-nucleotide ribosomal RNA is filed under the name uncultured bacterium. RNAcentral's name for it is "bacterial SSU rRNA". It matches the Rfam family "Bacterial small subunit ribosomal RNA", at positions 568 to 898 of the family's 1533-position model. The record is from RNAcentral.